AUAACUACCACUCUUCAACUCUCCGGCGGUUUCCACAAUUCUCUUCACUCUCUGAUUUUUCUCCAACAAAUGCAAAUCUUGAUAAAUACGCAGACAUAUAUUCUUCCUCCCUUCAAGCCCCAAAUUCUCAUACCAAGCAGUGAGUUCAAGUUUUCAUCCGCCAUUGUUUUCCAGCAAAGCCAAAUUCUUCUUUACCAAAAGUGUGAACGAGAAACCAAGAGUGUGUGAUAUUUCAAUACCUUCUCUUCUGCAAAUUUUGCUACUUCCGGAAGAUUGAGCGGCGAUGGACGUGGAGGAUGUUGAGCAGAGUUGUUGGAAAAUUAUAUCUUGUUUGGUUGUUGGAUUUGUCGAGUCUUCAUACUGGGCAUUUUUCCAUGUCUUGACGCUUCCGCUAAAAUUCUAAAUUUCCUUUGGACUGUUUUAUCAUUGGGUCUUAUUAUUCGAAGUUAGUUUUGUGGAGACAGUAUUCGAGUUUGUUUUAAGUUUCUUAGUUAAUCUUUUGUUUUGGUCGUGUAUA
Salvia hispanica is the source of this 517-nucleotide long non-coding RNA. RefSeq lists it as uncharacterized. The record is from RefSeq and is a predicted model, not a curated record. NCBI's taxonomy places the organism in Eukaryota, Viridiplantae, Streptophyta, Magnoliopsida, Lamiales, Lamiaceae.